Molecule: ribosomal RNA, 444 nt
Filed under: Fusarium incarnatum
Lineage: Eukaryota; Fungi; Ascomycota; Sordariomycetes; Hypocreales; Nectriaceae
Description: eukaryotic LSU rRNA
Rfam family: 5.8S ribosomal RNA (bases 96-248)
Source: RNAcentral
AUCAGCCCGCGCCCCGUAAAACGGGACGGCCCGCCCGAGGACCCCUAAACUCUGUUUUUAGUGGAACUUCUGAGUAAAACAAACAAAUAAAUCAAAACUUUCAACAACGGAUCUCUUGGUUCUGGCAUCGAUGAAGAACGCAGCAAAAUGCGAUAAGUAAUGUGAAUUGCAGAAUUCAGUGAAUCAUCGAAUCUUUGAACGCACAUUGCGCCCGCCAGUAUUCUGGCGGCAUGCCUGUUCGAGCGUCAUUUCAACCCUCAAGCUCAGCUUGGUGUUGGGACUCGCGGUAACCCGCGUUCCCCAAAUCGAUUGGCGGUCACGUCGAGCUUCCAUAGCGUAGUAAUCAUACACCUCGUUACUGGUAAUCGUCGCGGCCACGCCGUAAAACCCCAACUUCUGAAUGUUGACCUCGGAUCAGGUAGGAAUACCCGCUGAACUUAAGCA